This 2926-nucleotide ribosomal RNA is filed under the name Escherichia coli. RNAcentral's name for it is "23S ribosomal RNA". It matches the Rfam family "Bacterial large subunit ribosomal RNA". The record is from RNAcentral. Lineage: Bacteria; Pseudomonadati; Pseudomonadota; Gammaproteobacteria; Enterobacterales; Enterobacteriaceae.
GGGUUGUGAGGUUAAGCGACUAAGCGUACACGGUGGAUGCCCUGGCAGUCAGAGGCGAUGAAGGACGUGCUAAUCUGCGAUAAGCGUCGGUAAGGUGAUAUGAACCGUUAUAACCGGCGAUUUCCGAAUGGGGAAACCCAGUGUGAUUCGUCACACUAUCAUUAACUGAAUCCAUAGGUUAAUGAGGCGAACCGGGGGAACUGAAACAUCUAAGUACCCCGAGGAAAAGAAAUCAACCGAGAUUCCCCCAGUAGCGGCGAGCGAACGGGGAGGAGCCCAGAGCCUGAAUCAGUGUGUGUGUUAGUGGAAGCGUCUGGAAAGGCGCGCGAUACAGGGUGACAGCCCCGUACACAAAAAUGCACAUACUGUGAGCUCGAUGAGUAGGGCGGGACACGUGGUAUCCUGUCUGAAUAUGGGGGGACCAUCCUCCAAGGCUAAAUACUCCUGACUGACCGAUAGUGAACCAGUACCGUGAGGGAAAGGCGAAAAGAACCCCGGCGAGGGGAGUGAAAAAGAACCUGAAACCGUGUACGUACAAGCAGUGGGAGCCUCUUUAUGGGGUGACUGCGUACCUUUUGUAUAAUGGGUCAGCGACUUAUAUUCUGUAGCAAGGUUAACCGAAUAGGGGAGCCGAAGGGAAACCGAGUCUUAACUGGGCGUUAAGUUGCAGGGUAUAGACCCGAAACCCGGUGAUCUAGCCAUGGGCAGGUUGAAGGUUGGGUAACACUAACUGGAGGACCGAACCGACUAAUGUUGAAAAAUUAGCGGAUGACUUGUGGCUGGGGGUGAAAGGCCAAUCAAACCGGGAGAUAGCUGGUUCUCCCCGAAAGCUAUUUAGGUAGCGCCUCGUGAAUUCAUCUCCGGGGGUAGAGCACUGUUUCGGCAAGGGGGUCAUCCCGACUUACCAACCCGAUGCAAACUGCGAAUACCGGAGAAUGUUAUCACGGGAGACACACGGCGGGUGCUAACGUCCGUCGUGAAGAGGGAAACAACCCAGACCGCCAGCUAAGGUCCCAAAGUCAUGGUUAAGUGGGAAACGAUGUGGGAAGGCCCAGACAGCCAGGAUGUUGGCUUAGAAGCAGCCAUCAUUUAAAGAAAGCGUAAUAGCUCACUGGUCGAGUCGGCCUGCGCGGAAGAUGUAACGGGGCUAAACCAUGCACCGAAGCUGCGGCAGCGACGCUUAUGCGUUGUUGGGUAGGGGAGCGUUCUGUAAGCCUGCGAAGGUGUACUGUGAGGUAUGCUGGAGGUAUCAGAAGUGCGAAUGCUGACAUAAGUAACGAUAAAGCGGGUGAAAAGCCCGCUCGCCGGAAGACCAAGGGUUCCUGUCCAACGUUAAUCGGGGCAGGGUGAGUCGACCCCUAAGGCGAGGCCGAAAGGCGUAGUCGAUGGGAAACAGGUUAAUAUUCCUGUACUUGGUGUUACUGCGAAGGGGGGACGGAGAAGGCUAUGUUGGCCGGGCGACGGUUGUCCCGGUUUAAGCGUGUAGGCUGGUUUUCCAGGCAAAUCCGGAAAAUCAAGGCUGAGGCGUGAUGACGAGGCACUACGGUGCUGAAGCAACAAAUGCCCUGCUUCCAGGAAAAGCCUCUAAGCAUCAGGUAACAUCAAAUCGUACCCCAAACCGACACAGGUGGUCAGGUAGAGAAUACCAAGGCGCUUGAGAGAACUCGGGUGAAGGAACUAGGCAAAAUGGUGCCGUAACUUCGGGAGAAGGCACGCUGAUAUGUAGGUGAAGCGACUUGCUCGUGGAGCUGAAAUCAGUCGAAGAUACCAGCUGGCUGCAACUGUUUAUUAAAAACACAGCACUGUGCAAACACGAAAGUGGACGUAUACGGUGUGACGCCUGCCCGGUGCCGGAAGGUUAAUUGAUGGGGUUAGCGGUAACGCGAAGCUCUUGAUCGAAGCCCCGGUAAACGGCGGCCGUAACUAUAACGGUCCUAAGGUAGCGAAAUUCCUUGUCGGGUAAGUUCCGACCUGCACGAAUGGCGUAAUGAUGGCCAGGCUGUCUCCACCCGAGACUCAGUGAAAUUGAACUCGCUGUGAAGAUGCAGUGUACCCGCGGCAAGACGGAAAGACCCCGUGAACCUUUACUAUAGCUUGACACUGAACAUUGAGCCUUGAUGUGUAGGAUAGGUGGGAGGCUUUGAAGUGUGGACGCCAGUCUGCAUGGAGCCGACCUUGAAAUACCACCCUUUAAUGUUUGAUGUUCUAACGUUGGCCCCUGAUCGGGGUUGCGGACAGUGUCUGGUGGGUAGUUUGACUGGGGCGGUCUCCUCCUAAAGAGUAACGGAGGAGCACGAAGGUUGGCUAAUCCUGGUCGGACAUCAGGAGGUUAGUGCAAUGGCAUAAGCCAGCUUGACUGCGAGCGUGACGGCGCGAGCAGGUGCGAAAGCAGGUCAUAGUGAUCCGGUGGUUCUGAAUGGAAGGGCCAUCGCUCAACGGAUAAAAGGUACUCCGGGGAUAACAGGCUGAUACCGCCCAAGAGUUCAUAUCGACGGCGGUGUUUGGCACCUCGAUGUCGGCUCAUCACAUCCUGGGGCUGAAGUAGGUCCCAAGGGUAUGGCUGUUCGCCAUUUAAAGUGGUACGCGAGCUGGGUUUAGAACGUCGUGAGACAGUUCGGUCCCUAUCUGCCGUGGGCGCUGGAGAACUGAGGGGGGCUGCUCCUAGUACGAGAGGACCGGAGUGGACGCAUCACUGGUGUUCGGGUUGUCAUGCCAAUGGCACUGCCCGGUAGCUAAAUGCGGAAGAGAUAAGUGCUGAAAGCAUCUAAGCACGAAACUUGCCCCGAGAUGAGUUCUCCCUGACUCCUUGAGAGUCCUGAAGGAACGUUGAAGACGACGACGUUGAUAGGCCGGGUGUGUAAGCGCAGCGAUGCGUUGAGCUAACCGGUACUAAUGAACCGUGAGGCUUAACCUUACAACGCCGAAG